AGGGUUCGAUCCUGGCUCAGGAUGAACGCUAGCGGCAGGCCUUAUACAUGCAAGUCGGACGGUAACAUUGGUGCUUGCACCAGAUGACGAGUGGCGCACGGGUGCGUAACGCGUAUGCAACCUACCUUUUACUAGAGUAUAGCCCAGAGAAAUUUGGAUUAAUCCUCUAUAAUAUCUAUUAAUCUCAUGAUUUUUAGAUUAAAGUUUUAACGGUAAAAGAUGGGCAUGCGUCUUAUUAGUUUGUAGGUGAGGUAAUGGCUCACCUAGACUACGAUAGGUAGGGGCCCUGAGAGGGGGAUCCCCCACACUGGUACUGAGACACGGACCAGACUCCUACGGGAGGCAGCAGUAAGGAAUAUUGGACAAUGGACGAAAGUCUGAUCCAGCCAUGCCGCGUGCAGGAUGACGGCCCUAUGGGUUGUAAACUGCUUUUAUACAGGAAGAAACACUCCGACGUGUCGGUGCUUGACGGUACUGUAAGUAUAAGGAUCGGCUAACUCCGUGCCAGCA
RNAcentral lists this ribosomal RNA (510 nucleotides) under uncultured Flavobacteriaceae bacterium. RNAcentral's name for it is "bacterial SSU rRNA". It matches the Rfam family "Bacterial small subunit ribosomal RNA", at positions 8 to 513 of the family's 1533-position model. Lineage: Bacteria; Pseudomonadati; Bacteroidota; Flavobacteriia; Flavobacteriales; Flavobacteriaceae. The record is from RNAcentral.